CGAUGUCCCAACUCAUCUUGCACAUCCGCGGCCACCACAAAUGCACCCUGCUCUGCAAAUACUCUCACCGCCUCCUCGCCAAUGCCGCUGGCCGCACCGAUGAGCUGAGAUGAACUGAGGGAGGGUGCAGAUGAGACGCCCGCAGUAGCCAAGUAUUUAUAGCUGUCAGUAUAUGCAUGUAUGCAGUAGCCACUAGUUUUUUCUUUUAAUUUAGGGUGACCAAAAAAGAGUGGUAUUUGACGCACAAGCAUUAAACGCAACUCCCGCAUGCAUGCAGGGCUCGAGAAAUGAAAAUUGGCUUCCCUCACA
Ipomoea triloba (trilobed morning glory) is the source of this 309-nucleotide long non-coding RNA. RefSeq lists it as uncharacterized. The record is from RefSeq and is a predicted model, not a curated record. The transcript has 2 exons. NCBI's taxonomy places the organism in Eukaryota, Viridiplantae, Streptophyta, Magnoliopsida, Solanales, Convolvulaceae.